AACAAUCUCUCUUCAGCACCAAAAAUAUACGUAUAGUCUUCGAAAUAACUGCGAGACGUCGCCAAAUUAAAAGUUGAGACGAUGCGAACAAAUUGUCCGAACGCGACCACAAAAACCUUACACCCCGUUCGUCGAUUGGCCCCGACGAACACAUCAGCUGUCUUAAACAAACGCAACUUGAUCACUCUUUUGAUCUUCGAACGUCCAACACAAGGACGAAAGCGCGCUACAAAACAAAUUCCGAAAUUUUGAUCUUGCACUUCCAGUUGGCUUAAAAAUUGUCUCUGGAAAGAUGCUCGAUUCAUACCAUACAAGUCAUAUAAGCCGAGAACCUAUCGCGGACUUUAAAUCGGUACGAAUCAGGUAGAAAUCGAAAUAGGAAAACCGAUAGCCGGCUAGUCACCGCACAAACCUUAAAACCGAG
RNAcentral lists this long non-coding RNA (424 nucleotides) under Brassica napus (rape). Its description in RNAcentral is "long non-coding RNA (BNAP_LNC020134)". Lineage: Eukaryota; Viridiplantae; Streptophyta; Magnoliopsida; Brassicales; Brassicaceae. The record is from RNAcentral.